RNAcentral lists this ribosomal RNA (253 nucleotides) under uncultured bacterium. RNAcentral describes it as "partial 16S ribosomal RNA". It matches the Rfam family "Bacterial small subunit ribosomal RNA", at positions 524 to 776 of the family's 1533-position model. The record is from RNAcentral.
UACGAGGGGUGCAAGCGUUGCUCGGAAUUAUUGGGCAUAAAGGGUAGGUAGGUGGUCUUAUUUGUCUGGGGUGAAAUCCUUGAGCUCAACUCAAGAAGUGCCCUAGAAACGGUAAGACUAGAGUCCUGGAGAGGGUCGUGGAAUUCCCGGUGUAGCGGUGAAAUGCGUAGAGAUCGGGAGGAACACCAGUGGCGAAGGCGGCUCACUGGCCCGAUACUGACGCUGAGGCACGAAAGCGUGGGGAGCAAACAGG